RNAcentral lists this long non-coding RNA (7548 nucleotides) under Homo sapiens (human). Its description in RNAcentral is "HSALNT0334610". Lineage: Eukaryota; Metazoa; Chordata; Mammalia; Primates; Hominidae. The record is from RNAcentral.
UAUAAAAACAAACAAAAUACAUCCUUAGGAUUACACAUAUCCCUAUGGUAGCAAUUUUCCACAAUCCAUUAUUACCAGUGAAAAUAUUUGCAUUUGCCUGUGUUUCUAGAAAAUAAUACAUUGUGUAGUGAACAUGGCUUUAUAGCAAAGGUUAAUUGUGUAUGUAUUUGAUAUGUUUUCUUAGCUAUAAUGAAAAUGGACUAGGGGGUAGGGAAAAUCACAAAUUAUGAGCAUAUAUUUUUAUCAUCAUUUAUUAAAAUCAGCCAAAAAAUAAAAGCCUCAGUGAAAAUUAGCCUCAGACUAAUAUAGAUAAUAAUAAUAAAAGCCUCAGACUAAAAUGACAGGACAUGGACACGUCCAAUAGUAAGCUAUUAAAUCAGCUUCCCAAAUAAUGCCCUGAUUUGUGGAUGUGUUCCAAUUCUGUGAUAUAAAUACCACCAACAUAGCUAAUUCUGAGAUGACAAGAUAAUAUCACUGAGCAGAGCUGGGAAGAGAUGCCCAACAGCAAACUCCAGUACACCACUGUUUACACAGAAUAGCUCAUUUAAUCUUCACAACAAGCCAUAUUUAUAUUUUCCGAGUGUGUUUGUACUAAAUGGAUUCAAUAACUAUUAAUAGCAUUAAUGAAUUAAUUUACUUCAGUUGCAUGAAGCAUCUGAGGAGAAUAAUAUUUAGAAUUGAUAUUUACUGAGCACAUACUAUAUACCAAGUUCCAUGAUAAAGUGUUCAUAUAUAAAUUCAUUGCAUCUUUAAAAUGACACUAUGUGGUAGGUACUCUUAUUUAUAUAUGAAGAAACUGAGGUCCAAAAAGGCUUAAAUAACUUGCCAAAGGUCCUACAAAUAGUAAGUGUUGACCAAGAUCUAGAGUGGUUAACCAAUGACCUAUAUUACUUCUUAGUUCCUUUGAACAUGUUAAGUGCUGACAUGACUUAGCAACAAAAUGGAAUACAUAGAAAAUAGUUACAUAAUUCAUGACAGUGUAAAACAUAUUUCACUCAGAGUUUCGGUAUUUUUGAUGACAGAGCCUGCUUCAUUAAAAUAAAAUUAUAUACCUAUUGUCCCAUUAAGCCUAUUGUGAAUUACAUAUCAUAGGCAUGCAACAGAUGUUUGGCAACUAAAUGCAGACACCUGGACAUCACAUAUAUAUGGGACCCUGACAUAGAGCAACCCUUGGUGAGUUAUCCUCAAUAGCCUAGGCCAGGUCUCAUGAGGUAUUUAUUUAUUUAUUUAUUUUUAAAGUAGCCUACUUUGCUUUCUCCCAUUAAAUGUAAGUCAACUAUUCUAUUUCCUAACCACCUCCCCUUCCCCACGUGAGGAGGAAAGGAUAAAGUAUUUAUUUAAUAUGGAGGGUGCAUGUCAGGAAAAAGUGAAGAUUUGUUCUGAAAGAGGAAAUAGUGGAAGAGCAAAUACAAUGGAUCACUAAAUAUGAAGUUUCCAUAGGAAGCAAUUUUCUUCUCCCCUGGGAAUCCUAGGAAAUGCGGGCAGAGUGCAAACAUGUGGUCCUAAGAAGCUCUUUAGUCAUCUACCAGCUAAGACCCUGGCUUUUUGGCUGGAAUCACUCCCUGGGAAUUCAACUCACACUAGCCCCAUCAUCAUUUCUUAGUUUGUUUAGCCUGAGUGGCUAGGGCUUCUUUCCUUUUUUAAAGGGAACAAUUUAAACCAGAUUUUUUAAAUCCAUGCUAUUAAUUCUAUCCUUCUGUGGGUUCCAGGUUAUUAGAAAAUUCUAAUGUUGUUAUCAGAUCCUAUUUCUCCCCUAACCUUUUCCUUAAAUUCUUUCUGAUAGGGGCUAGGAUGCAGGCAAGCAGUCUGGGUUAAAGAGACUGAAAGACCCCAUCAAAGAUUCUCACAUAAGUACAUUGACGUCUUGAGACGAAGAGAGGGAAACCAACUGCCUGAACACCCGCUAAAAGGUCCAUUCCUGACACACUUUAAAGUUUAUUGUGAGCAAACAUCUCUUGUUAAAUGUAAACAGCAUCUCACUGGAGGUCACAGACUUGCUGCUGCAGCAUAUCCCAAGGUAAUACCACUUUAAGCUCCACAUAAACUCUUAAGCAGUUUCUAUCCUAAAACCUGACCGUAGGUGGUACUGUUUUUUACGAUAUGUUAUAAUAGUGCAAUAAAUCUGUUAGCUUAAAAUCGAAUCUCCGUGGCCUUUUAGAGAAAUCAUCAUUAAAUGCAGGGUCCUGUUAAUGAUGCCAUCGAAGUGAAAUUGUUUAAUCUGCUAAGGGGGUGAAAGGUCAUCAAAUGAAUUUUUUAUAAUACAUCAACUUGACACGCAAUAGGGAAAACUGUAAUAGAUAAAAGCAAAGGAAAAGGGCACUGUCUUCUUCUGAUAGGUCAAUAGCAGCCAAGAGAGUCACUCAUCCACUUUCCUUUCAUGAUGGGCUCCUUUUGCAUUUAAUAUGGACACCCAAUUAAUACCUCAGCACCACAGACAACCUCAUUUUAGGUGACUUAUAGCAAUUUCUCCCCCUUCCCUGAAAUGAAAGUGAUCACAAUACAUCAUAGCAUUGUGCGAAUUAACGUUAAUUGAUUCAAGUUACCAAGCAAUGAUGGGCCACUUAUAUAAUCUAGGCGUUAUUGGGUGCUAGAAGGGAUGGAGGGAAGAUUAGAUUCCAGUGUCCGUUGCUGUGACGACGGGAGUCACCUGAUGCCUUGUUAGACAGUUGUAAGGUUCUAUUGCUGGCCCCAGUGGGGUCGUCAGUAAACUGGAGUGAUGUCCAAACAUCAUUACAUGCUGCUCCAAUAUUAAAGCAAAGGGAUUAGCAACUUAUUGCAAGCAACCUGGAUUUGUCAUUGUGCUGUCGUUAUCCAAUUUCCAACUGCUAAUGUGACUGUAGCCUGCAGGCAGAAGGACCUACAGCCAAACUUUAAAAAAUGGGGGAGAAAAGUUCCCUCCAUUCAUCCCAGUUUUUACCAUUAUUUAAUAGCUUCCAAUACCCAGUUAGGUAUGUGAGAGAUUUUUUUUUCUGCAAUGCUUAAAUGCAGGCUAUAGGAGAAAAGUCAAGAAAAUACAGAAAUUUCCCAAUUAAGAGAUCACUCCUAUUCAUGUCAUUAUUCUUGCUUUUCGAUUCCACCAGAUCUGAAAUGUUUACCCUGUAGAAGAUGGAAUUAUUUCUAUUUGCAUGGAAAACUCAGAAAGCAAAGACAAUGAGCUCAUGAGCAACUUGAGUACAGAUAUCAGCCUUAUUCACCUUUGCAUAUGUCCUUCUGCUCCCAUAUACUCAACCAGUGCCCGAUAUACAAACCAAGAGAGAAGAAACAUCAACAUUUCCUGAAAAGUUGAACUUGUAGCUGUACUUGAAGGACUGUGAGAUAACAGAACUAAAUGUUAGAAGCAGCCUGGUUCCCUGAGUCACCACCAGGAGGGCAGCUACCAGGAGAGUCACCCAACCUUCUUCAGGCUGAGAUGUGAGUAAAACAAAGUUUUUCUAUUCUUAAACAACUGAGAUUUGGAGAUUAUUUGUUAAUUGGAGUAACUCUGUCUCAUACAAUAUCCAUGUUUUAUGUAAAUAAAGAAAAUUUAAAAAGUAAGUACAUACAGAGAGGCAAUGAACAAAUAAUGCUGAGGUCCCAGUUAGUUUAGAAGCAAAAGGAAGAGAAAAAUACAAGCAAUCUGACAUUGUGACCUACACUACAGCUACCAUUUAAAGAGGCUCCAAGGGGAUCUAUAGGACAUCGUUGUCUUCAUUCUGUGCUCUUGGAAGUUCACUAAGAAAUGACUGUGGAUAAGGUUUGCCCUGCUAGAUAUUCCCCCACUUGAUGGCCAGCUUAAAACUGAUUUAGAAGAUUUUAGAGACUGCUAGGGAUUCACAGCUUUACUAAGGUCUGAAAAGCAAGCACUUAAGCAGCAUACUGCAUGCCAAGAAACAAAAUCAGAAGGUACAAGCAGCUGGUUUGACCUUUGAGAAAAGUUUGGCAAAAGGGCAAGAGCAUAUUUAUAACUCCUAUGGGACAGUUCAUGUGCUUUCCAUUGGACUUGCUCUGUGUCAAAGGCCAAUUUCCAUCCAUUAUGAUUCACUAAGUUAGUUUUAUGAAUAUUAUGUUUAGAGAAAAUCACACACUGGGUCAAAAGCAAAAUUAGAGCAUAUCCAUCAUUGGGAAGUUUAUCAUUUCACCAACUAUAAAAUUCUUUUUGCUUGAAUUUAAGGCUGAUUUUCCCUGAAAUACAUGAUUUUCCAGAUAAAACUAGCCACUGAUCUUUCAAGAAUAGUUUUCUGGGUCAAUAGAAGCCGCCUUCUGGGAAAAUAUUACACCCCAUUACACAUCUGGCCAAUUCUUUGAGGCCAUUCAAACUGUUAGGAGUAAGAGUGGGAGAAUUCCUUCCUGUCCUCUGAGACAAUCAUUUUAUACCCCAAAACUUCAACCUCGUUAUUCUUAUCUUAGGGCAUAAUUACAAUGUUAUUAUUGGUCAUAAAAUUAACCAGAUUUUCCUCUCUUUUCUUUUCCUCUUCAGCAUUUGACUCCCUGACCUUCUUCAACAGAAAAGUCUAUGGGCUGAUUAUACGCUAAGAAUAGAAGUAUUUCCUCUUACUUGUUUUAAAUUUUCCCACUGUUAAUUUCUUUGAGAGCAUACUUGUUCUCAUAUUACAAAACAAUGUUAAAAAAAAUUUUUUUAAAGAAUUUUUACUACUUCUAUAAAAUCUGAAAAUUUUUGCUCUUGUAUCCCAGUGUUUCUGAGAUUGGUCCCUUUCGUUAUCUCACCAUCCAGAGGUCCUAGCCUACAUUUACGUUGGCCUAUAGUUACAUGAUUCAACUUAUAACCUAAGGCCCCUUGCCAGUUGCUCCCUGCACUUCACUUUACUAUUUCCCGAAGCAACUUCUUUGUUUUAGUUGAGGAGGGUUGCUACCUUCCUGUGGCAGUGGUUGCCAAAGUAUUGUUUUAAGAAUCAUUACCAGGCCAUGUAAGGACUUGGUAGAAAAAAUGGUUUUAUAGGUUAGCAGUCUGCUGGUGUGAGGGGUGGAAGAUAUGGUGGAGCCUUGGAAAACUCACUGUCAGGAAAACACAGCUAUACCUCCUAUGCAGACACUUUGCUCAACAGCACUUAGGCACAACUUACCUGCUGUCUAACCCAGAACUCCAUCCAAAUUCCAUUCCACUUAUCCACGUCUGACACUUCUUAAGUUUCUAUAAAGAUUUUUCUAACACUCUUUCUCUGCUGAUCACUGGCUGACAAAAUUCAUUCUAUAAUUCACUCUGAAAUUGACAGCAUUGUCCUAGAUGGAUGGCAUGCUUGGAUGACAGCACCUAAAUCUUACCUAGAGAUUCAAGGUGAGAAGGUUUUUGAACCCUUAACUCAUGUUCACCUUGUAAAGAAGGAUGAUCAUCCUUCUACUGUUUAUAUUAAAAUGAUUAGACUUGGUAAUCUUUAAAACCACAACAAAAGCUGGACUUCUUUCCAAAGAACCAGAACGCUUUACCUCUGACUUUGUCUUCUGCUAAUUCCCUUCCUGGUCAUUCUGCUCAAGCCACUCUGACUUCCUUGCUAAUCCUCACACACUGCAGGCACUCUCCCCACUUGGGGACUCUGCCAAGGCAGAUCUCUCUACUUUUCUCCCAGGUGUUCCUGUGGCUCAAUCCCACACCCUCUUCUCUGUCUCCUUCUCAGUGAGGCCUACUUUGGUCAGCCUAUGUACAAGCAUUCUUUUUGCUUUCUAUGAUGCUCUACAUUUUUUCUUUUGUCUAUAGCACUUAUAACUUUAUAAUCUACUAGAGAAUUUACUUAUUUAUUAUGUAUAUUACUUAGUCACUCCUCUAAGUAAGCUAAGAAAGUAAGCCCUAUGAGAGCAGGGUUAUUUGUCUAGUUUUGACACUUUACAACUAGCCAGAAAAGCACCAGGCACAUAGUAGACUCAGUAAUAUGUGUUAAAUUGAAUAAACUUAAUGCAUCCAUUCGUUUUCAAUGAUUAACUCUAGAAUUUUCCUGAUUCGCUCAGAUUGAAAUUGAACAUUCAAGUUGAAACUAUGAUCUACUCACUUGCAUGUUUGAAAUCUACAAGGACAACUUUCUAAAAAUAUUUUGCAAGGACUGUAUAUUUCAUAUGUCUUUCAGAGGCCAGAUAUGAAGUUACAUUUUCUCAGGUACUCCACUUUCUCUUGGUUUUCAGAAAAGUUGAUGUUCUUGCCCUCCUGAAAUCAUGGCACCAAAAACGGGGAUGUAAGUUCUUUCAUUGUCAAGAGUGAAUGAGAAGGAAAGGGGAAAAGAGGAGCAGGGAAGAAAUGGAUAAUACUAUUUCUAGUACCCUUCCUUCACAGAGAGGAAUGAAUUAAACAUGAGGCAAGAAGGUCACCAAGUUAGUUAGGCAUAUGAAUUAAAUCAGAUUGUCUGAAGAAAGUACUCUAUGAAGAUAGGGCACAGAGAAAGAAUACAACAAAAAUCAGAUGAUAAAAAAUGAAAAAAAAAGUUGCAUUUGUAUGGCACAUUUUAAUAUGUUAAGUACUAAUAAUAACUCUUGCCAUUAUGUGUUAAUAAUAGAUCCUUUUCUGUAUCAGCUAUAUUGUAUGCAUUAUAUAUAAAUGUUGACAACAUGAAAGAUAAUUCCUGUAUUUCUAUUCUACAGAUAACUAAACCUAAGCUCAUGGUGUUAAAUAUCCAUAGACACCCAUCUAUUCAGUGGCCAGCAGGGCCUGAAGCCAUAUGAUAGCCACCAUUGCACACAUUUUGCCACCAUGUCACCUGUUAUCAUUUGCCCUUCACAACAACUUUAAAAGGCAGAAAUAAGAGGUGGGAUUUCCAUUUGCCUGAUGAAAAAACUGAGUUUCUUAAAAUUUAGUACUUGCCCAAAGACAAAGUGAAUUAAUUAAAUACUGGUCUCUUGACAUCUGUGUCUAAUGUUCUUGUCAUAACAUGAUGUUCUUGUCAUAACAUGAUGCUCUUGGUGUUGGUAAUAAAACUAAUGUUUCUCAAAUAGAGGAUGAAUUUGUGAGUUAGUAAAUCAGUUCAGUUUUGACACUGCAAUCUCCAAAGAGAUCCUAAAAUUAUUUUCAUAUUUUCAAACGAUGUGGAUUAAUACUCAGUAUCAGAUUGCAUUCUACAAAUAGUAUUGCCUUGAGAUCCAUCCACUUGAAUUAACCAAAAAAUACUACUAAUUAACUAGACUUGAGAAAGGGCUGGUACUAGGCAAUGUGACUUUUUUAUGUCAUAUGUCACCUGGAUUACAUUUUCACUCUGAUGUACAUGUCAUUGACAGCAGUAGGCUGCUAGAAUUUGACACCAUGAAUUUAUCUGAUGAAGUGCACAGAAAGAGAUCUGUUUAUUAAUUCGUAAGCACAAUCUAGAGCCAUUUUAUAAUACAGUAUUUCCCCCUUCACAGAAUGAAUCAGUACUUGACUGAUUUAAGUAUAAAAUGCCUUGGUUUGUUAAACACAACCCCAUAUUGGGGAGAAUUGGACUUGGGUUCUACUAGCAGUUGUCCCAAAAUUUGCUAUUCUUAAACAAGUUGUCUUCCCUCUCAGGACUUCAAAGUCACCAUCAAAAACUUAGAAACAUCUCAAGUUAACAACCUAAUAUCACAACUAAAACAACUAGAGAACCAAGAGCAAACAAA